UCCCUGCCUCCCGAUCUCAUCUCGACCUCCAGACUCGAGCGCUUCGCCGCCUCCCGCCGGCCGCCCCCCUCUCCCCCCGUCGCCGCGCGCAGCCACCGACGCCGUGGCCGUUGGCGGCUCCCCCCGCCCCUGCUACCAUGGUGCCGCCGGGACUCCUCCCCGCUGCUGAAAUUCCCCAUCGCCAUCCCAAGGGCCUCGCCCGCCGCGCUCCCCUGGACCCUGAGCGCCGCCGCCCCAGCCACCCUCGAGCCUCCACCAGGUGACCCCAGGCGCCGCUGAUCCCGUGUGCUGCUGCUCGAAGAUUCCCCUGCUUGCUGCCCUCUCCCUCCCACUCCACGGUGCACGGGGCAGGGGGAACUGGGUGGCGGCGGCAUGAUCUCCGGUAAGCGGCGGGGCCUAGCGGCGGGGCCGGGAUCCGGUGGCGGCGGCAAGCUCCUGUAGGUAGGCGACGAGCGAGAGAGAGGGAUUGAGAGAAGGGGAGAGAGAUGGAAGGAAGGAGAAGAAGACGAGCAUGGGCAGUGGGGCGUAGGAGAGAGAGAGGGCGGAGGCAAGGAGGAUAAGGACAGAUGGCAGGGGGCGGCCUGUGUGAUUGCUCCGGUGAUGGCGUCCGGCGUAGGUUCAUACCUCGGCGCGCAGCCGCAAUCCCUCCCCUCCACCGUCUCCACGUGGUGUAGGCUGCUGCAAUCUCGCUAUCCCAGCGAUAUCCCAGAUGCGCGCCACAGCCAGCCAACAAGACCACUAUGUAGCUCAGGCCCAGAAUUGGUCAAUUUUAUACAGCUGCAAUACACAACGACACACAAAAUAGAUGCUCCUAGGCUCGAUCUUUCUACUGCAACAUACUCGCCCAAUACUUAUUAUCGCACUUUUCUCAACUAACCAUACUCUGUCCCUUGAGGAGGAUUUCAGGGGAGAUCGACUACUGUAAGUCUGUGACGAUAACAAGAGGCUGAUAUUUGAGCUGGACUCUUGCGGACAACAGGUUCAGGAGCUCCAAGCCAACAACGGCCAUUGCCUUGAAAAAGAUGUAAGAUUUCUACUAUCUAGCUUCUGUCACAAGAUUUGCUAUAGCCUGUUAUUUUGUAUGGCAGUCAGUUUUGUUGUAAGAAUGAGUAAUAGAUCUAUUGUUCAAUUCUUGUUUGAGAUAGAAUACAAGUUAUGUUAAAUAUUCAAUGUUUAUUGAACAUGACCAUAGUGGAAAAGGCUUUAAAGAUAAGAGAUGAGAUAUUUUUUCCUUUAACAGUUCAAUUUCUGAAAAAAAUUCAACACAAUAGCCGAAUUUAUUCCAAUUUUCACAUAUAAUACUUGCCGCUAAGAACUUAUAGGUAUAUGCUUUCACAUGCAGUCCUGUCUUUGCUAACACGUAUGGUGUCAGUUUAGAAAGACCUAUGUAAUGUUGUUUUGAUUCUUGGCUUUAGGGGAAAAGGGAUAGGUUCAGAAAAUAUUUAUCUAGAAUAGAUGUAUAUUUAUGUAAGAGGAUAGAUGUACUUACUUACAGAACUACAGUAUGCUGCAGUUGCUAGGGACUGUAGAUUACGGUUCUAAUUCAUUCUUUUGCAUUUCAGUCUGUCAUUCAUUGUUACUUGAAUGUUUCUCUUUUUGUGAUCUCCCAUAGAAGCUUUUUGUUUGUUUUUUCACUGGAACAGCUCUACACGCCUUGUGAAAUUUCUGAUGUAGUUUGGAAAUAUGAGUGAGAACUGCAAGUACGUUGAUACUGCCCUCUAUGUAUUGAAUCCAAGGAUUUUUUUAAUAUAUAUUCUUUUUGUUAAUUUCAAGGGAGGAAGAGAACUCCAGUACUAUGGUAAUGUUCUUGAUUCUGAUUCUCCAUGAUUGAUAAUGUUGUUUAGGACCCUAAGCUUUGUCAUGGCUGAUUUAAAUAGGCACAGCUGGUUUAGAAGGAAAGCACUGCUACUAAUUUUAGAACUAGGAUGUCGUAUUUGACAGCUGUCAGGUAUUGCUUAUUUGCAUUGUAAGAUCACAAUUCUAAGGUUAAUCUUUUUAGUUGUGUAGCAUUGCAUAUUUGGGUCCUUGAAUUCUCUCCUCGAAGAUCAACACAUUUGGUCAGAUUUGGCUUAUUUAAUAAUUAGCAAACAAUAAAUAUUGAACAUCUAUUCAGUGCGACAUUUCUUACGGAUGGUCAGGUCGACAGCGGCAACAUCGUCUUCAUUGUACCAAGGUGCUGCUGCUACUACAACGGCAACCUCCUACUUCCCGAACAUGACCAUUGCAGCUAUCCUUGCUGUAAAUUUUGUCUCUUUUCUUUCUCAUAAAUUAUGGACAUAUGGGCAUUCUGAUCAGGUAACGUUCUUCUCUAAGAUUUGAUAUUUGAAGCAUGAUGUUUGCGAUCAGGUAAUUUUCCUAGGGUCUUUCAGAUGUCAAUGUUGAUGGAAAAUACACAUGUUGCAUACCUUUUUUGAAAUCAGAAGUGGAUACUAACAUUUCACAUCAUGACAUUGUAGUUUAUAGUGCUAAGCUUGACUCCUCCAUGGUUAUAAUAAUGGACUUACAGUGAGUUGAUUUGUAGUUAACUUUGUCAUUAAGUGGCUGGCUUUUAUCUGAACAAUGCAGUCUUGCAUUCUCUAGGGAGCCAGAGCAAGUCCUUCCUUCCGAUUUGAAUUUGGGGAUUCGAUGAUUUCUGUCGGAUAUAUCAUGUCUAUUUGAUCAGAAAACAUGAGAUGCAAAACAUGUUUUUCCAGCAGAAAUGAAUUCAUGGACUGGAACUCCUACAGAUUUGAAGUUGUAUGCUGGAUCGACUGCAUAUUUUAUUAAGGGUUUAUCAGUUCAUCAUUCCCAUUAGUUCAAUCGUGGCUGCAGUAACGAGUUUGCCACUACUUCAAUGGAUAUAAUGGAGCAUAGUCGUCAUUAUGUAUGCAAAAGCAUGUAUCAAAAUUUGAAUUACCACGGCGCAUUUAAUUCUCUUGGAGUACUAAACAGUCAUGCGGCUCUCCACAGAUUUCUUCCAAAUGCCUUGCAAAGUUCCGCAGAGAACAAGCUAUCACGGAAUUUCUUCCAAAUGCAGCAAGUUCCGAGCAAGCAAAACUAUACUCUGUAAAUAAUCUUCCUGAACCAGAGUUCUUAAUUUUAUUUCUAUUUUUACCUUUUCCUGUACUGGAUUUUAAUGUACUGAACACUCUCCUUAAUCAAUGGGAGCAACACCUGAUUGCCUUCAUAUAAAGAAACACAAUGUAAACACAUACGAGGCGAUGUAUAGCUAGCAGGAACAGGACAAAAAUGCUGCUCGAAGGUGAGUGGAAGUGCAUGAUUUUCUAGAUUUAUUUUCUUGACAGAAGUUACUAUAUUCUCAAUAUACGUCACAGUUGUAAUCAUCUAAAAA
Triticum aestivum (bread wheat) is the source of this 3331-nucleotide long non-coding RNA. RefSeq lists it as uncharacterized. The record is from RefSeq and is a predicted model, not a curated record. NCBI's taxonomy places the organism in Eukaryota, Viridiplantae, Streptophyta, Magnoliopsida, Poales, Poaceae. The transcript is spliced from 2 exons.